CAGGUUUUUGCUAAUAUUUGUGGUUUCACUUGUAAAUAUUGAAUCUUUUUUGAGAAUUGGGUUUUUGUUUUUGAGAUUUUAUGAAUUGGAGAGGAUGGACUUUUGGUGUUGAUUGAAUAAAAAUGAAAUUUUUAAUUAUUAGUUAUAAUUUUAAACUGAUUUUGAGAAUUGAGUUUUUUUGUGCUUUGAGAUUCUAUGGAUUGGGGAG
RNAcentral lists this long non-coding RNA (208 nucleotides) under Capsicum annuum. Its description in RNAcentral is "long non-coding RNA (CANN_LNC008517)". The record is from RNAcentral. Lineage: Eukaryota; Viridiplantae; Streptophyta; Magnoliopsida; Solanales; Solanaceae.